Molecule: long non-coding RNA, 2202 nt
Filed under: Homo sapiens (human)
Lineage: Eukaryota; Metazoa; Chordata; Mammalia; Primates; Hominidae
Description: HSALNT0064236
Source: RNAcentral
GGGGAAUGCGUGUAGGCAGAGAAAUGGCGGUCAGGGAGGAGCACAGAGCGGCUGUCUAAGAUAAUGGUUCAUAGCCAUGCACCUCUAGUGUCUCAAGAUCCAAAAAGAGAUGAGCGUACAUAAGAUCCUUGGACUUGAAAACAGGUGAACCACAGGCAUUUGACGCUCCACUCACUCUCUGCCAGCUCAUUCCCACUCGGCUUCACAUCGACUGAGCAGUAUUAACAUCUACCUGCCUGCAACCUCCAUCUCCCUCUCUCUAAACCUCUCUUUAUUUGGGAAAUAGUUGGAUGAUUAAUGAGAUAAUGAAUGUGAGGAGAACUCCCUGGAGGAAAGACAUUUCACAAACAUGAAGUGAAGACUCUGGCUGACUCACUGAUUUCAGCAGCUCAGAGGAAAUCUGUGGACACCUGGAAACUGAAAAGGAAAAAUUGAUUUUCUUUCACCUUCCCACGAAUCUGAAUGUCACUUCAGAAGCUCCCAAGAUUUAAUUGAUCUGAGACAACUUCACAGCAACUCCACCCCCUGUUGAAUGAUUAAGAAUAUUAAUAAGGUUGAGGGCGCUGGCAACACUGAGAGGUGGCUUGGAAGCAUCAUUGAAGACUGAACUAUAUAAAACUGCCAAUAUUUGUGUCUUUUUUGAACUGUAAUGAAGGCAGUUUUAUAAGAUUCAGAUUAAUAUUAGCUACUGCCAGAGAAAUGGAAGUUUGAAGCUUGUAUUGAUGAAAUGAAUUCUGAUUCCCCAUCAAGAGUCUUUGUCCUUAUAACUAAUGAAUUAGUAAAAUAAUUUAUUUUUUCAUUAACAGAACAUUUGUUGUAUAUCUAUUCUUCAGUGCUUAAUUACCCAGUAGGCAGAUCAGGCAUGCAUGUGGGGACCCAUAAAAUAAGGCAUUGUGUUUUCUGUAAUUUAGUUCAAUAUCAUUCAGCAUAGAAAGUAUGACACAUAUGUGUGUGUUUAGUUAGUUUAACUUACCUCCAGGGGCACCUUGCUAAUAUUUGAAGAACCCUAAUCAGAAAUACACACUCUAGGGGAGAUUAGUUAGCAUUUGAAAGACUCUAAUCAGGUAGCUACUCUAAAUGUUUAACUCUCAGCAAUCACAAUUAGCACUAGAGGGUUUAUUAACCAGCCUGAGGGAUGCUAGUAAUAAUUUUAAAUUAGUGAAAUAAGUACUAUUCAAGAUAAGUAUAUUGGUUAGAAAUAGGGCACAAGCACCACUGCCUUAGCAUGAACAGAAUACAAGAAUCUAGGGUGCUUCUGACCCAGGUCUGUUUCCCAUUAGAAGAUUGUCUGAAUUCUGCUACAAGGCUACAAUCGCGUUUGCAUUGAGUCUUUCAUGAAAACGAUUGAAUUUGUUUUCAGAAAAAAAGCAUUCUGACAGCAGUGCAGAGGAUGCACUGGGGUGUUCAGGAGCUGGAGAGAGAGUGAAGAUAGUGAGACCAGUUAGGAGGCUCUGAUAGUAGCCCAAUGAAGAAGCUCUGAACUAAAGUUGUGGCAGUGUGAGUGCAUGGAGUAGAGAGGAUAGAUUGGAAAGGUUUACAAGAGAAAAAGAAAUGGAUUUGAUGAAUAACUGGACAUGGAAGAAGGGUAUGUCGGUGAAAAGAAAGACAUAAAGACAGCUUCCAGGGUUCUGAUUUUCACAGUUCCAUUUACCAAAAUAGAAAACCAAAGAUAAAAAAGAAGUUCAGGGCCAGUGAAAAAUCAGCUACUUUUGAAUAAGUUAAUGUGAGAUGUCUGCAGGACACCAAGUGGAGUGAUCCAACAGGUAGAUAUUUAUACACACAUGUACAGAAGUACAUAUCUGCUAUCUGGGAUUCAGGAAGGAGACCUGGGCUGGAAAUAGAUAUCUAAUGUGUUUAAUAAACAUGUAUUAGUCAUUUACUAUACUCCAGACCAAUAUUAGUGGUGAUCCUUGCCUUCAUGAUGAUUUCAGUAUUUGGCAGACACCAAGUAAGGGGGACAUUUGAAGUCUUGAGAAUGAGGUCACCCAGGGAAAAUGUAGAGUUAAAAGUGCAGAAGCAGGAUCCUUUGGACAAUUAAUAUUUAAGAUGCAAGAGAAAAAAGGAUGAAUGAUAUAAAUGGUAUAUGAAUUGAAAACAAGAAGGAUUGGCCAAAUAAAUAGGAGGAAAAUGAGAAGAGAAUGGUACUAAGGAAGUCAAGAAAUAUAAAAGUUUCAUCUUUUAUAUGAAAGAUGAGGCCGGGCG